CCCAAUCCUCUCCAGCUCUUGGGGAUCCUCGGGCUCCUGGGCUGUGUCUCUGCAGGAUUGUUUUUGUGGCUGGCAGAGCGUGGCCACUUGAGAAGGUGUUGUUGAGAUCCAGAGUGAUCCUUGGCUUAAAAUCCAGCUGGAAGCCUCAAGUUUGGGGCCUGUGAGACGCUGGCCACAGGAAGGAAAUUUGGGUGUUCCUCCUCCUUCACAGAGCUGAGCAUCACCACAGCAAAAGUACAGGCUUUCCAAAAGUCUCUUGUGAUGGUGGGGUCUGCCCAGCUGCAGAGACAUCGAUUCAUUACAAUAACCAGCAAGCACAGGACAGGGGAUGGGGCCCACACUUCCCUUUUUGCAGCAGCUGUAUCAGUCACAACCACUGUUACCUGGGUACAUGAUCCUUCAACCCUCUCUGGACCACACUGCAUAUUUGUGUUGCACAUUUAUCUUUAUUUUUUGCCCAGGGAGGCCUUUAACACCAGCUCUGCCCAGACAUCCAGCUGCAUUUCUGAUCUGAGGGGAUGGGGGACACAGCCCAGCUCCAGCCAGGACAGGAGCAGGAGAUGCUGGAGGCUCCCAAAGCUGUGA
This is a long non-coding RNA of Cyanistes caeruleus (blue tit), 585 nucleotides long. NCBI's taxonomy places the organism in Eukaryota, Metazoa, Chordata, Aves, Passeriformes, Paridae. The record is from Ensembl.